AUGGUGGUAAAAAUCAGUGCUAUGUUUAGAUCCAUUUGUGUUUUUCAUUAGUAUUCUGGACUUAAUAUAGAGAGAUGUUAGAUUUUUUUAAGCUGGUGAAUUAUUUCAUUUCUCUGAAUUACUAAAUAUUUAGGAAAUUAUUUAACAGUGUAUUUAGUAGAUCAAAUGUGUGAUAUAAAAUUUCAUUGAAAUUGUCAUGUGGUUUUUAUACUGCCACUUCAAAAGUUUUUUUUAAAAAACCAAUAAAACUUUAAACUUUAAAAUAGACAUAUAGCACAUGUUGCCUAAGAGCCUAAUAACAGAUAUAAAAUAUCAUAUUUUUACUAUUUACUAUAUUUAAUGCCUAAUUUCUCUUAAUUAUUUAUUGUAUGUUAAAAUUUGAAGGAUUAUUUAUUACAAACUAAAAUACUCUUUAUAAUAUUCUACUUCAAAACCAGGUAUUUAGCACAUAAGUUCAUUCAGAACAAAUCCCAGAAAAAAAGAAAAAUCUGUUAAAGGAAUCAUUUAUAUCUUGCAUUUUUCUGUCCCUGGCCACUGAGGUAAAAUGUUUCACUCCAUAGCGCCACUGUCCCAACUUA
This is a long non-coding RNA of Perognathus longimembris pacificus (Pacific pocket mouse), 578 nucleotides long. RefSeq lists it as uncharacterized. The record is from RefSeq and is a predicted model, not a curated record. The transcript is spliced from 2 exons. Lineage: Eukaryota; Metazoa; Chordata; Mammalia; Rodentia; Heteromyidae.